RNAcentral lists this ribosomal RNA (497 nucleotides) under uncultured bacterium. RNAcentral describes it as "partial 16S ribosomal RNA". It matches the Rfam family "Bacterial small subunit ribosomal RNA", at positions 28 to 507 of the family's 1533-position model. The record is from RNAcentral.
GAUGAACGCUGGCGGCGUGCCUAAUACAUGCAAGUCGAGCGAACGGACGAGAAGCUUGCUUCUCUGAUGUUAGCGGCGGACGGGUGAGUAACACGUGGAUAACCUACCUAUAAGACUGGGAUAACUUCGGGAAACCGGAGCUAAUACCGGAUAAUAUUUUGAACCGCAUGGUUCAAAAGUGAAAGACGGUCUUGCUGGCACUUAUCGAUGGAUCCGCGCUGCAUUAGCUAGUUGGUAAGGUAACGGCUUACCAAGGCAACGAUGCAUAGCCGACCUGAGAGGGGGAUCGGCCACACUGGAACUGGGACACGGACCAGACUCCUACGAGAGGCAGCAGUAGGGAAUCUUACGCAAUGGGCGAAAGCCUGACGGAGCAACGCCGCGUGAGUGAUGAAGGUCUUCGGAGCGUAAAACUCUGUUAUUAGGGAAGAACAUAUGUGUAAGUAACUGUGCACAUCUUGACGGUACCUAAUCAGAAAGCCACGGCUAACUACGUG